Molecule: long non-coding RNA, 1350 nt
Organism: Larimichthys crocea (large yellow croaker)
Lineage: Eukaryota; Metazoa; Chordata; Actinopteri; Sciaenidae
Exons: 3
Source: RefSeq, a predicted model, not a curated record
CCUCAUUAGCAACAACGAGGACAGUGAGGUCAUUUAAAAUAUUCAAUCACGAUUCCUGGCCUGAACAAAGACAUCUCCUGACAGAUUAUGGUGCAGAGGAGCUGGACUUCCUGCUGGACCACUUCUCCCCCAUCCUAACAAGAAAUGGCUGUGAUACCAAGCUGGCAAGAGAGGAGUAUCAGUUGAUGAAAAUUUUCAUUGUUACCAACUACAUGGACAAGUCAUACCAUGCCCUGUGGGGGAUGAUGUUGACCAAAAUGCCGUUCUGCUCCGACUACAAAAACAUCCUACAUCUUGUACACAUGAUGCUUGCACUCCCAGUGUCUUCUGCUGUGUGCGAGAGAGGAUUCUCUUCCCAGAAGAGGAUUAAGUCAGAUGUCAGGGGGUCACUUCAUGUGGACACUGUUGAGGACUUAAUCAGAAUUAGUAUGGAGGGACCGAGCAUCGACGAUUUUGAUGCCAAAGAGACUGUUGACAUGUGGCUCAAUCAGGCUCAAUGUACAAGGAGGCCUAAUUACAAGGGCUGGCCAACACAGGCACCUUAUCCCCCACCAAGGGAUGAUCUUUUGUAGGAAGUGUUGCACAAGUUAUGUCUACAACUUGUUCUGUUGUUGUCAGUAGAGCAUAAAUAUUCACUUUGUAUUUUUAAGCUGUAUAACUGUAUGUUAUUAAAACUAUUGCAGAAAUUUAUAAAAUUGUAGUUUAUGCAUUUAUUGUCAAAGUAUUUAUCAGUAAUACAGUGAAAAUGGUAGGAAAAUUUUGAAAGUCGAUUUAUAGUGUGCGCCCCUAAAUUUUCUGCUUGCGCCCCUAAAAUUUUAAGUUAGGGGCCACUGUGCUCCUAGUAAAAAAAGUUAGUCUGGAGCCCUGUUAACUGUUUACUUGUCUUUCUUUUUUUUCUUUUUUUUUUUAGUUUGUUGCUGGCUGCCAGACUCAAUGUUAAUUUUAUGUUUUAUUACAAUGCUCUUAUCUUUUGUUACUUACUGUUUAAUCUUGUCGCUCACGAAUGAACAACAUGCUUGAUUCAAUAUUCUUGGACUCUUGGAAUGUCUGUGGUUCAGGCCACCCGAUAAAGCGAGGUAAAGUUUUCGCACAUUUGAAGUCCCUGAAACCUGACAUAAUAUUCUUGCAAGAAAAGCAUGUUAAAGCCACUCAACAUAUGAUACUCAGAGCUAACUGGAUUUCACAGGUCUACCAGUCACCUUUUAAAUCUAAUGCUAGAGGCGUGGCCAUUCUUUUCCGUAAAUCUGUGCCCUUCCAUUUUCACUCUUUCAUAACUGACCCGAAUGGCAGGUUUAUAAUUUUAUCCGGCUAUAUCAAUUUAUUCCCAUUAUACUUAUAAAUAUCUACGGA